RNAcentral lists this long non-coding RNA (1725 nucleotides) under Lupinus angustifolius (narrow-leaved blue lupine). Its description in RNAcentral is "long non-coding RNA (LANG_LNC003703)". The record is from RNAcentral. Lineage: Eukaryota; Viridiplantae; Streptophyta; Magnoliopsida; Fabales; Fabaceae.
UUUUGUAUGGUUAUAGGUUAUGUAUGUGAUCUCUGUUUGGGGCUAUGUAAGUGUAUGUGUGUCUGGAUUUUUCACUAGUUGUGUGUAUUGUGUAUGUUUCUCCCCCUGACUUGCGUGUGUUGUAUGCCUUUUAUAGCUGUAUGUUUAUGUUGCAUUGGCCUUUUGCUUUCUGGAUACCCAUUCUGAAACUGCCCAAUAACUAUUCCCAUUCAUGCUGAUUAUGAUUUUUAUGUAACUGCUGAGAUAUUUCUGAAUUCUCACCUACUGAUUUGCCUUUUAUGCUUACUGGAAUACAUAACUGUAAAAGGAAUAUGCCAACUGGUGAUGACUUCUGGUUUGCAUUUUUUGAAACUCUUGUAUUGUCCCAGUUAUUGCUGAUUUAUGUGCAUACGUAACUGUUUGAGAAGAUUCUUAUUUGCCAAUGAUGACCAUAAUUGGAGUAGAAUGGUAACUGGCCUUUAUCAUGUAACUCAUGGCUGAUUGGUGUGAUUGCUUUGGAAUAAUUAUUAUUUACUUAAGUGUAUGUGUAACCAGAAGAGAAUAUGUAUUCUGGUUUGCUGCUUUUGAACUACCAUCUGCCUUAUUCAGGGAAUCAUGGUUAUAACUAUCUUCCAAGAGGUAUUUGUAUGCUAGAAGUAUCAAUUGUAUCCAUUGUAUGUACAUUAGUAAGAACUUUUGUGACUGAUUCCCCUAGUUUAAUGUGUCCAUUCAAGAACAAUUCUAUGCAUAUCUUCCUGAUGAGGAUUCUACAAAUCACGUUAUUGUCAUUGUCUUCAUUUGCUGCCAAUCCUCUCUCUCUAGCUGUUGUUAUCUUGGCUGUUUUCUCAUUUGGGUUAAUGCUGGAUUUUUAGGUUCAAGUGCAGACCUGGUAAUGGCUUGUGGGCGUUGGCCAAAGCCAAAAUCAACAAUAAAGGGUUUUGGUUAUUGAUCCCCUGCCCCUUCUAUUAAUAAGGAUGUUGUUAUUGCUAUAUUUCUUGUACUAAUAUAUUCUGUUUGUUUUUGUAGUGGAUGAUUCUAUUUGGUGUUAGACUCAUUGACUGCUCCAUUUGGUUCACCAUAUCUCUUCGCCUCUUUCAUUAUUUUACAUCAUCAUUAAUUGUUGGUACCAAAGAGCAACACAAGCUUCAGAUGCGAAAUCUCAGUGUCCAGGUGAGAUGCUAUAAUAAGGUUCCAAUUGUAGUCUAGUUUUCUGCACAUAUGCAAGAGCAGUGAGAUUCCUUUCUCACUUAGCCUUUUGUCACGGUUGUUCAUCAAUUUAGUCAAGAGUAACUUUUUCACAACUUUCUUUUCCUUUUGCAGGAUUAGCUAUCUGCACCAACACAACUCUUUCUUGACACACAGGGUGCCGAAUGAGAAGCUGCUCCAUGGCCAAAAGCUUUAAACUUAUUCCCUUGAAAAUAUCCAUGUCAUCCGCACCAAGCAACAUUAUCUUCCCUUGAUCAGAGAACUGCUUAACAAGCUCUCCAACUUUUUCUUCAGUCUUUGGCAUGCUCAUUUAUUGAAUUCAUGAUUCUAACAGUAGCUUUUUGUAUAUCAAUUACACUAUGGUGAACUCAUUAGGAAAUCUCCUGAUUUAAUGCACGUAUAUUUUAUACUAUGCACCCUUUUAUUCCAAAUUCGGGCCACUGUUUGUAUGAUAGAUAGUGUAGGCUCCUGAGUAACUUUAUGUCCAGGUUAUGGUCUUUGAUAGCAUUAAUCAAACUAUACCUUAAUUCUUAAUCCGAG